RNAcentral lists this transfer RNA (91 nucleotides) under Tumebacillus amylolyticus. RNAcentral describes it as "tRNA-Ser". It matches the Rfam family "tRNA". Rfam says of the family: Transfer RNA (tRNA) molecules are approximately 80 nucleotides in length. Their secondary structure includes four short double-helical elements and three loops (D, anti-codon, and T loops). Further hydrogen bonds mediate the characteristic L-shaped molecular structure. tRNAs have two regions of fundamental functional importance: the anti-codon, which is responsible for specific mRNA codon recognition, and the 3' end, to which the tRNAs corresponding amino acid is attached (by aminoacyl-tRNA synthetases). tRNAs cope with the degeneracy of the genetic code in two manners: having more than one tRNA (with a specific anti-codon) for a particular amino acid; and 'wobble' base-pairing, i.e. permitting non-standard base-pairing at the 3rd anti-codon position. Lineage: Bacteria; Bacillati; Bacillota; Bacilli; Caryophanales; Alicyclobacillaceae. The record is from RNAcentral.
GGAGUGGUGGCCGAGCUGGCCGAAGGCGCUCCCCUGCUAAGGGAGUAUACUGGAAACAGUAUCGAGGGUUCGAAUCCCUCCCCCUCCGCCA